GGGCGUGUAACUCAGGGGUAGAGUGCUUGCUUCGCAUUCCUGCUUGCAUGAAGUCGUGCGUUCGAUUCGCACCUCGUCCA
This is a transfer RNA of Calocera cornea HHB12733, 80 nucleotides long. It matches the Rfam family "tRNA". From Rfam's summary of the family: Transfer RNA (tRNA) molecules are approximately 80 nucleotides in length. Their secondary structure includes four short double-helical elements and three loops (D, anti-codon, and T loops). The record is from Rfam. NCBI's taxonomy places the organism in Eukaryota, Fungi, Basidiomycota, Dacrymycetes, Dacrymycetales, Dacrymycetaceae.